This is an RNA transcript of Manihot esculenta (cassava), 6413 nucleotides long. RefSeq lists it as uncharacterized. The record is from RefSeq and is a predicted model, not a curated record. NCBI's taxonomy places the organism in Eukaryota, Viridiplantae, Streptophyta, Magnoliopsida, Malpighiales, Euphorbiaceae. The transcript is spliced from 3 exons.
GUCAUCCACGAAGUAGCAUUACUCAAUUUCUACGGCUCAAAAGCUUUUCCCGAUGAAUAUGAGCGCAACUAUAGGAGAGAUAACACCUCCACUCAUCGCAUGUAAUGUGAAAAUUUACCGCUACCACCGUCAAAAUUCAACACUGCCUUGCAGGAGCUGACGUAUCUCGUCGGACAACGCUGACGUAGACCCAGCCAUCGGGAAGCUGACUCAAUAUGGAUGUUAUUUCUGACCUUCAAGAGUCCAUCCUAAGCACCUCUCUGCUGUGCAAGCUGCUAGAUACAACUCUGGUUAAUCAACAAACAAAACUACCAAAGAACAUGGCAAAUUAUGCUGAAAAUUCUGAAGGGCAGAAUCCGGGAGAGGAGUUCUUUAAGAUUUGUUUAGAUUUGUCAAAGCUCCAGAAAACUUCAGAUGAACUUGAGGCAUUGAGAUGGUUGUUUUCCAACGAAAGAACAAAUGUUCUGAAUGCAAAAUCAGAACCUUCAAGCCAAAAUUCAAACCUUUUGAUCAAGUCAUCCGGUUCCUCGAAAUCAAAACAUCUGCAGGACAGAAAGAAUAUUCUGGUAUCUAAUAUCUAUCAUGCCAAUGGUGUAGAAGAAUGUGAUGAGAAAUUAAAAGAGGAAACUAGUUUCAGUGAAGAAUGACAUUUACUUGCGUUGAAUCCCACAUCGGUUGUGGAAAGGGGUAAUGUGCCCCUUAUAUGGGCCAUAGACACUCCUCCCCUCAAAGGUGAGUUAGGUCUGGCCCAAAUUGAAUAUGGUAUCAGAGCCUCCCCAUCCGAUGUUGGGCCUUCUAUAGAUAUGUCACGCACUAGUACAAUACUGGGCGUUAGAGGGUGUGUUGAAUCCCGCAUCGGUUGUGGAAAGGGUAAUGUGCCCCUUAUAUGGACCAUAGGCACUCCUGUUCUUGAGCUAGCUUUUGGGGUAAUCUUGUAAGCAUCAUCCUUCAUCAGAACUUUUUAAUGCUUUGCAGCAUAGGAAAAAGGUUCUAAAAUCUGAUCUCUUGACUGGUAGUUCAUCUGUGAUUAGCAAGGAACUUAGCUCAUUUCUUGAAUCUUCAACAAAUGGUAGGGCAAACACAAAUGAAUCUGCUCCAGAUCCUCUGCUCUCUCCAUUUCUUGGCAGUGGAACCCAUUCACACCUGCGAGGAAGCCAGCAAGAUGAACCUUCCAAUAGAACAGCCCAUUCAGAAAGGUAUGCUCUUCACAUGGCAUCGUGACACAUACUGUUUCUUGGUUUCAGACCACCAAAUUCAGACACUAAGUUGUGGUUCUUUCUUGAAUUGUAAAGAUAAUUUCCCUUUCAUAUGUAUUAUCUUUUCAUUUUAGAUUUGAAUCACGUUAACUUUUGUCUUGCACUUCCUUUUCUUGUUGGUUGACCUUGUUGAAGAUUGAUUUAAAAUUAGUACAUGGUUAACGUUAGUUUGAUUUAGUUUUUGUUAGUUAUUUUCAGUUCAGAUUUUUUAGGUUCUAUUUUCUUGUCUGUUAUUGAGUCAAGCCAGUGACAGAAUUUUCUCAUUCUGUUUUAUUAGUUUCUUUGUAAUGCCUAUUUAAAAGGUACUGAGCCAUUAUUGCAGUGUACUAAAGUGAAUAGCAGAUCGAACUGUCAGAUAUAUUGCAAUCUCUGAAUAAAGUCGUCAAUUCUCAAAUUCAGUUUGCUAGUUUCAGUUAACUAUAAAUCGAAUUUCAGCAUCGUCCGAAUUUAGAUAACUAAUUUUAUCCUCCGUUCUUUGCGAUCACCAAUCCCCUUUCCCUAACAAAAGUGGUAUCAGAGCCUCGUUCGUUCAAAACAUUAGGCGUUAACUCAUGGCAUCAAACGGCAAUGCUAUGAGUAUUUCUCAAUCGGCAAUUCUUGUUUUCAAAGGUGAAAACGAAUUCAGGAGUAUCCAGAUGAUAAUUCUAUUUAAGUCUCAAGAUUAUGGGACUUGGUUGAGAAAGGGUAUCCUGACGCAGAUGAAGAGACCAGCAUUGUCCGAAUUUCAGCAUUGUCCGAAUUUAGAUAACUAAUAGUUAGCUAUAAACCAAAUUUCAGCAUUUUCCGAAUUUAGAUAACUAAUUUUAUUCUCUGUUUUUUGCAAUCAUCAAUCCCCUUUCCCCAACAAAAGUGGUAUUAGAGCCUCGUUCAUUCAGAAAAUUAGGCGUUAACUCAUGGCAUCAAACGACAACGCUGUGAGUAUUUCUCAACCAGCAAUUCUUGUUUCAAAGGUGAAAACGAAUUUAGGAGUAUCCAAAUGAUAAUUCUGUUUAAGUCUCAAGAUUAUGGGACUUGGUUGAGAAAGGGUAUCCUACUAUCCUGACGCAGAUGAAGAGACCAGGUUGAAGGAAACUAAGAAGAAGGAUUCCAAAGCAUUAUUCUUCAUUUAGCAAGUUGUGCACGAGUCAGUUUUUUUAAAAAUAACAACAACUACUACUAAAAAUGCUUGGGCGACCUUGCAGACGGCGUACCAAGGCGCUUCUAAGGUAAUCACGAUUAAAUUUCAAUUCCUUCGUCGUGAUUUCAAAACCUUGCAAAUGAAGAGUGGAGAGACAGUGAAAGAUUUUCUCUUAAGAGUAACUGCAAUUGUUAAUCAAAUGAGGUCUUAUAGAGAAUAAAUCUUGGAUCAAACUGUUGUUGCAAAGGUGUUAAGGACUUUAAGUACAAAGUUUGAUCAUGUUGUGAUAGCCAUUGAAGAGUCUAAAGACUUGGCCACAUACUUAUUUGAUGAAUUGAUGGGAUCCUUAUAAUAUCAUGAAACGAGAUUAUACAAAUCAAAUGAAAAGAAUGAAGAGAAAGCCUUUCAUGUAAAAGGUGAAGCAGCUAGCAGAGGACGUGAAAAAGGAGGAUACAGAGGUAGAGGAGGUCGUGGCAGAAACGAUCAUAGUAUAGGAGAUGAGCCAAAAAAUGAGCAGCAUAAACAAAGAACAGAGAAUCAGGGAACUAGCAAAAGCAGUAUUCAAUGUUAUUAUUGCAAAAAAUAUGGGCAUGUAAAAACAGAUUGUUGGAAACAAAAUCAACAAGCUAAUUAUGCAGAAGAGGAAGAGGAGACCAAGUUGUUCAUGGCUUAUGAAGAUAGUAGAAUAACUUCAGGUGAUAUUUGGUUUUUAGAUAGUGGAUGCUCUAAUUACAUGACUGGCAUAAGGUCAUUGUUCAAAGAGUUUGAUGAGUCAUACAAGUUGACAGUGAGGCUUGGUGAUUGUUGAAUCCCACAUCGGUUGUGGAAAGGGGUAAUGUGCUCCUUAUAUUGGCCAUAGGCACUCCUCCCCUUAAACUAGUUUUUGGAGUGAGUUAGGGGUGGCCCAAGUUUAACAAUGAUGAUAAGGAAAUGCAAGUUGAAGGCAAAGGUAUCGUAGCAAUUAAAAAUAACAACAUAAUAUAAAGCUCCUGCACAAUGUUUAUUUCAUUCCAAGUUUAACACGGAAUUUGUUGAGAAUUGAGCAACUCAUGGGUAGUGGAUAUUCUGUUUUAUUUGAUGAUGGAUCAUGUGAAAUUAGAGAUGAAAAAUCAGAUUAGAUUAUAGUCAUUGUUUCCAUGUCUAAAAAUAAGUUGUUUCCUCUUGAAAUCUCUAGUAUUGAGAAUAAUCAUGCUCUUAUUGUCAAAGAGAGCAGUGAAUCCAUGUUGUGGCACUUAUGGUAUGGGUAUCUGUAUGUAAAGGGUCUCCAGUUGUUGAGUAAAAGACAAAUAGUUUUUGAGUUACCUAAAAUAGAGUCUCUAGAUUUGUGUGAAAGGUGUAUUUAUGAGAAACAAUAUAAAAAAUCGUUUCCUAUGGGAAAGUCUAGAAGAGCAACUGAAUGUCUUGAGAUUGUGCAUGCUGACUUGUGUUGUCCCAUGAAAACGCAGUCUUUUGGUGGGAGCAGAUAUUUUUUAUUGUUCACAGAUGAUUUCAGCUGAAUGAGCUAGGUGUAUUUUCUGCAAUCCAAGUCAAAAAUUUUGUGGUUUUCAAGAAAUUCAAGGCAUUUGCUGAGAAGCAAAGUGGGCAAAGUGUAAAAACACUUCAAAUCGAUAGAGAAGGAGAGUUCGUGUCCCAUGAAUUUAAUCAUAUAGAAUUAACAGCUCCAUAUACGCCAGAGCAAAAUGAAGUAGCUGAACGAAAGAAUCGCACGAUGGUGGAAAUGACAAGAAGUUUGUUAAAAGCCAAGGGAUUAUCAGAUGAUUUUUUAACAGAAAGUAUUGCAACUAUCGUUUGCUAAAUUUAUUACCAACAAAAACUGUUUUGAACAAAACACCAUUUGAAACUUGGAGUGUUAGAAGACCCUCGAUGAGCCCGUGAGCCAUUUGAAAAUUUUUUAUUGUAUUGCCUAUGCUUUAAUUGAUUCUCAUAAUUGUAGCAAAGUUGAUGAUAAAUCAAUAAAAUGUAUUUUUGUUGGUUAUUGUAUUUAAUUAGGCUGUAUAAUUCUAUUAGUGGCAAAGUAAUUGUGAGCAAGAAUGUUGUCUUUGAUAAAGAAGCAAGUUGGCCUUAGCAAGAAAAUCCAGACAGUGUAUAGAUUGAAAGUUCAGUUGAAAUACGACAAGCAGAUUCUCUACCUAUUUAAAUAUAGCAAGCUACUUCUCCAAUUUCAGCAAUCUCAUCUUCAUCUGAAGAUGAAACUCCUCCUAGAAGAUUCAAAUCAUUGGCUGAAAUUUAUGAGACUCGGAAAAAGAAGAGUGGCACAAUACUAUGAAAGAUGAAAUUGCAGCAAUUCAAGGGAAUGAAACUUGGGAAAUGGUGGAUCUUCUUAAAAACAAGAAAGCCAUUGGUAUCAAAUGGGUCUUUAGAACAAAGUUUUAAGCAGAUGGCAACAUUCAAAAAUGAAAAGCUCGACUUGUAGUAAAAGGCUAUUCAUAGCAACAAGGUGUGGAUUACUAUAACACCUCUCCCGUUGCACAGUUUGAAACGGUUGAGAACUCUUUUAACCUUAGCUGCUCAAUGAAAUUGGCCAAUCUACCAAUUUGAUGUCAAAUCUGCAUUCCUAAAUGGAGAGUUAGAAGAGGAUGUGUACGUGUCUCAACUUGAAGGUUUUGUUAUUUGUGGGAAAGAACAGCAAGUGUAUAAGCUAAAAAAGGUAUUGUAUGAGCUUAAAGCAUGGUACAACAAAAUAGAUAGCUAUUUUUUGCAGAAUAGUUUUGAACGAAGUAAGAAUGAACCCACUCUCUACUUAAAGAGGCAAGGUACAAAUGAUCUUAUUGUUUACCUUUAUGUUGAUGGUAUGAUAUAUAUGGGUUCUUCUUCUUCUCUAAUUAAUGAGUUCAAGUUAGAGAAAAAGUUUGAAAUGUCAAAUUUGGGGUUGUUACAUUAUUUUCUUAGAUUACAAGUCAAGAAAGUUGAAGAUGGAAUCCUCGUGUUUCAAAGGAAAUAUGCAAUUGAUUUACUUAAGAGUUUAAUAUGUUGAAUUGUAAGACUACAGCUACUCUCAUGAAUUUAAAUGAGAAGUUACAGGUUGAUGAUAGAACUGAACUAGCUAAUGCAAGUUAUUUUAGAAGUACGGUUGGUGACCUAAUUUACUUGAUGCAUACAAGACCUAACAUUACCUUUUCAGUUGGGGUAAUUUUCAGGUUCAUGCACUAUCUUUAAAGCAUCAUCUUGGAGCUGCAAAAAGAAUCUUGCAUUAUGUAGCUGGUACUAUUAAUUUUGGGUUGUUGUAUACAAAAACUGCAAACUUUAUACUGUUUGGUUUCAGUGAUAGUGAUUGAGCGGGAUGUUUAGAGGACAGAAGAAGUACCUCAAGCUAUAUGUUUAACUUUGGGUUAGCAGCUAUUUGUUGGAGUUCUAAAAAACAAAAUACAACAGCCUUGUCCUCAUCAAAAGCAAAAUAUGUAGUUGUAACUGCAUCAGCAUGUCAAGUAAUUUGGUUAAGAAGAAUUCUUGCAUACUUAUGGCAAGAACAAGAUGGAGCAACUGAGAUUUAUUGUAACAAUAAAGUAGCAAUUGCAAUGUCUAAAAAUCCAGCUUUUCAUGGAAGAACAAAGCAUAUAGACAUUUGAGUUCACUUUAUUCGUGAUGCUGUGGCACAGGGAUGACUUCAUUACACUAUGGCAGUAUAAAUGAUCAAGGAUGACUUCAUUACACCAUUGCAGUAUAAAUGAUCAAGUGACAGAUAUUCUUACAAAGUCAUUUUCUCAAGAUAAGCAUGUCUAUUUCUGAAAUUAACUUCGAGCGUGCAAUUUUAAAUCAGAGGAGUGUGUUGAAGAUUGAUUUAAAAUUAGCCUACGUCAGUUUGGUUUAGUCUUUAUCAGUUGUUUUCUGUUCAGAUUUUUUAGAUUUUAUUUCCUUAUAUGUUAUUGAGUCAAGCCACAUUCACUGUAGUGGCAGUAUUUUCUCAUUUUUAUUUUAUUAGUUUCUUUGUAAUGUCUAUUCAAAAUGUAUUGAGUCAUUAUUCAGUGUACUGAAGUGAAUAGCAUAUCAGACUAUCAGAUAUAUUACAAUCUCUAAAUAAAGUCGUCAGUUCUUAAAUCCAA